This 72-nucleotide transfer RNA is filed under the name Dallia pectoralis (Alaska blackfish). Its description in RNAcentral is "tRNA-Thr". The record is from RNAcentral. Lineage: Eukaryota; Metazoa; Chordata; Actinopteri; Esociformes; Umbridae.
UGGUGAAACUCAGUGGCAGAGUGCAUGCUUCGUAUGUAUGAUGUCCAGGGUUCAAUCCCCAGAGUUUGUUUG